Molecule: ribosomal RNA, 660 nt
Filed under: uncultured Acidobacteriota bacterium
Lineage: Bacteria; Pseudomonadati; Acidobacteriota
Description: bacterial SSU rRNA
Rfam family: Bacterial small subunit ribosomal RNA
Source: RNAcentral
CGAAAGCGGCAUACUGGACCAUAACUGACGCUGAGGCGCGAAAGCUAGGGGAGCAAACAGGAUUAGAUACCCUGGUAGUCCUAGCCCUAAACGAUGGAUGUUUGGUGUGACAGGUACCCAAUCCUGUCGUGCCGGAGCUAACGCGUUAAACAUCCCGCCUGGGGAGUACGGUCGCAAAGGCUGAAACUCAAAGGAAUUGACGGGGGCCCGCACAAGCGGUGGAGCAUGUGGUUCAAUUCGACGCAACGCGAAGAACCUUACCUGGGCUCGAAAUGUUGUGGACCGGGGUAGAAAUAUCCCUUCCCGCAAGGGCUGCAAUAUAGGUGCUGCAUGGCUGUCCUCAGCUCGUGUCGUGAGAUGUUGGGUUAAGUCCCGCAACGAGCGCAACCCUUAUUGCCAGUUGCCAGCAAGUAAAGUUGGGCACUCUGGCGAAACCGCCCCGGAUAACGGGGAGGAAGGUGGGGAUGACGUCAAGUCCUCAUGGCCUUUAUGUCCAGGGCUACGCACGUGCUACAAUGGGUGGUACAAACCGUCGCAAACCCGCGAGGGGGAGCUACUCGGAAAAAGCCAUCCUCAGUUCGGAUUGGACUCUGCAGAGCGACUCCAUGAAGCUGGAAUCGCUAGUAAUCGCAGAUCAGCACGCUGCGGUGAAUACGUUCC